This 253-nucleotide ribosomal RNA is filed under the name uncultured bacterium. Its description in RNAcentral is "partial 16S ribosomal RNA". It matches the Rfam family "Bacterial small subunit ribosomal RNA", at positions 524 to 776 of the family's 1533-position model. The record is from RNAcentral.
UACGUAGGGUGCGAGCGUUGUCCGGAAUUAUUGGGCGUAAAGGGCUCGUAGGCGGUUUGUCGCGUCGGGAGUGAAAACCUCGGGCUUAACUCGGGGCUUGCUUUCGAUACGGGCAGACUGGAGGUAUGCAGGGGAGAACGGAAUUCCUGGUGUAGCGGUGAAAUGCGCAGAUAUCAGGAGGAACACCGGUGGCGAAGGCGGUUCUCUGGGCAUUACCUGACGCUGAGGAGCGAAAGAGUGGGGAGCGAACAGG